UACGUAGGGGGCUAGCGUUGUCCGGAAUCAUUGGGCGUAAAGCGCGCGUAGGCGGUCAGGUAAGUCCGGUGUGAAAGUCAAAGGCUCAACCUUUGAAUGCCGCUGGAUACUGCCUGACUUGAGUCCGGAAGGGGCUACUGGAAUUCUCGGUGUAGCGGUGAAAUGCGUAGAUAUCGGGAGGAACACCAGUGGCGAAGGCGAUCACCUGGGGAUGUUCUGACGCUGAGGAGCGAAAGCUAGGGGAGCAAACGGG
This 253-nucleotide ribosomal RNA is filed under the name uncultured bacterium. Its description in RNAcentral is "partial 16S ribosomal RNA". It matches the Rfam family "Bacterial small subunit ribosomal RNA", at positions 524 to 776 of the family's 1533-position model. The record is from RNAcentral.